CUCUCCUAAAAUCACCGUAUAGUAUCAAAGUUCUCUCUCCAUGAUCUCUCUUAGAAUGCCAUUUUCUUUCCCAUUCUAUAGCCACGAUUCUCCUUUUAUCUUCUCCAUUGUCUCUCUCAAUUUUCAAUAUUUUUUACUCCAAAAAGUUGUGAAAACUUGAAAUUUCCUAUUCCAAUAGCUGAUUCAAUAACUCCGAAGAGGGUUACCCGAGGUUUAGCAACAAUAAUUGUUGCAGAAAGGAGAACAAAAAUACGCAAUGACACACCGAAACAAGGCCAAUUUGAGAAAUCUUCGAAAGAAUUAACACUUUCUGAUGCGAAAAAGAGAAGAAAACUUAUGGAUGAUGCUUCAGGGGGUAAGGGAAAAGAGGUCGAUACAGGAACUAGCUCAGAAACACCGAACGAAAAGGUAAUUGUAGAUGUAUUUAUAUGUAUUUGAGUCCGCAUACAUUGAUUAUUACUUUCUACAAUAAUUUUCUCUUCUUGUAUGUUGUUGUCAUUAUAUGUAUUCAAUAGUGCCUACACUGAUUUUUACUUAUUACAGUGACUUUUAA
Molecule: non-coding RNA, 553 nt
Organism: Nicotiana tabacum (common tobacco)
Lineage: Eukaryota; Viridiplantae; Streptophyta; Magnoliopsida; Solanales; Solanaceae
Source: RefSeq, a predicted model, not a curated record